Long non-coding RNA from Pogona vitticeps (central bearded dragon), 1618 nucleotides. NCBI's taxonomy places the organism in Eukaryota, Metazoa, Chordata, Lepidosauria, Squamata, Agamidae. The record is from Ensembl.
CACAUUUUAAAAGUGUGGGGGGCUACAUAAAAAGAAAGGGCAUAGAGCAAUAUUGGGAUCCCGAAGGUCCUCUCAUUAAUGGCGACUCCUUUGCUUUCCAUAAAGUUUCAAAGGAAAUAGCAGGUAAGUAGGUGUAUUAAUGCAGUUGACCUUCCUGAACUGUACCUCCCACAAGUCCUUCACAGCCAUCAAGCUUGCUAAGAGCUUCAAGCUGUUGUCUCAUGCCUUUGCAGAGCUUUGUACAUAGCUGCAUCAAACCCUGUGUACAAUAAGGUGGCCAUUUAUUCCAGCAAUCUUUCGAAUCAAAGCAAAUCUUCCUGAACGUAAUCCCACCCAAACAGUGGCAGUCAGUGUGCUGAAAAGUGGUUAGAGAGUCCGAUUCAGGAGAUCCAGAUUCAAAUACCCCCAAACUUUGACCCACCCACCAAGUCUCACCGUAACCUAGUUAAUACGGUUGUUCUGGGGCUAGUGCAGAAAGGAACAGGUAUGGUGACUUGAACUCCGAGAUGCAAAAGAAAGAAAGAAAGAAAGAAAGAAAGAAAGAAAGAAAGAAAGAAAGAAAGAAAGAAAGAAAGAAAGAAAGAAAGAAAGAAAGAAAGAAGUCAGCAGCCCAAUAGAAUAAUUGUACGCCCACCUAUACUUUGGGGGUUCUUACAUUCAGUAAAAGGGGCUCCAUAAGUCUAAUGCUUUCUUUUCUCUGAAACUUACUAAACAAUGGAUGGAUAUAAACACCUCAGUGAAAUACAGAGACACCUCUCUGCUUUGCACUGCAUCCUUCUUAGCUAUUCCAAGCAAAAUAUUUGUUUGUUUGAGUUUGUUUUGUGUGUUUUUAAUUAUGGCUUCUCACCAAAGGAGAAAAAAGUAGAACAGUCACUAGCUAUAUAAGAUUGUGUCUCUGACAGCAACAGGAUUUGUAGUGCUUCACAAUUAAAGUGUGUCUUUACCCAUGCACGCACGCACGCACGCACGCACGCACGCACACACACACACACACACACACACACUUGAUAAAUAGCAUGGAACUUUGAUCAUAAAAUUGACUGUUUACUACACACACACACACACACACACACUUGAUAAACAGCAUGGAACUUUGAUCAUAAAAUUACGUUUCAGGGAGAAUAACAUUGAAGAACUACCCCUUCCUUAUUCAUUCACCUUUAUUUCAAUUUUAAUCAUACUUGUUUGAAUUAAGCCCUACUGCAUUCACAAAGACUUGUUUCCUAAUAAUUAUGUUUAGGCUUAGGCUAAGUUUAAGUAUAAAAACACAUCCUGCUCAGGGAUCAAAGAUGAAAUAAGUUGCAAAAAUUUUAUUACUUGUGACUCUUCAUGACUAGAAAUUUCUCCAUGCUAUUCCUUGCCACACGAAAAUAUUCUUCCCCAGCAGCAGCAGCUUCUAGAGAUGAAGGGAGAGAAAAGGCUUGUCUUCUCUCAACAAGAAACAAGCAAGUAAACACCUGGUUUUAGCUACCUGCCAUAUUGCAUCUUUGAUGGACUUACAAGCACAAAGCUAAAACCGUAAAAGUAAUGCCUUAAGACUUCUUGGAUGGGAGGGUAUGUCCAUUCACUUAUUGCCUAAAAUACCACUAAUGACACAAUAAACAGAAAGCUGGGUCCA